ACGGCCAGAUUAUGUUAAAACAUUGGUUUCCGUACGAUCCCUGAAGUUAAGCAACGUCGAGCCUGAUCAGUACCUAGAUAGGUGACCGAUUGGGAAAUGUGCGGUGGUGU
Acanthosepion pharaonis is the source of this 110-nucleotide non-coding RNA. The record is from the annotation of a GenBank genome assembly. NCBI's taxonomy places the organism in Eukaryota, Metazoa, Mollusca, Cephalopoda, Sepiida, Sepiidae.